GAUGAAGAACGUAGCGAAAUGCGAUACUUGGUGUGAAUUGCAGAAUCCCGUGAACCAUCGAGUCUUUGAACGCAAGUUGCGCCUCAAGCCAUUAGGUUGAGGGCACGUCUGCCUGGGCGUCACAUAUCGUUGCCUGAUGCCAGUUUCCUCGUGAUGGGUGACUGUGCAGGGCGAAUGAUGGCUUCCCGUGAGCAUUGUUGCCUCAUGGUUGGUUGAAAAUUGAGUCCUUGGUAGGUAGCGCCGUGAUAGAUGGUGGUUGAGUGACGAACGAGACCCAAUCAUGUGAGACCCCUACCGAAUUUGGCCUUCAUGACCCACAUGCGUCUUUGGAACGCUCAUGACGAGACCUCAGGUCAGGCGGGGCUACCCGCUGAGUUUAAGCAUAUCAAUAAGCGGAGGA
This 400-nucleotide unclassified non-coding RNA is filed under the name soil metagenome. RNAcentral describes it as "partial contains 5.8S ribosomal RNA, internal transcribed spacer 2, and large subunit ribosomal RNA". The stretch from base 1 to 122 matches the Rfam family "5.8S ribosomal RNA", at positions 35 to 154 of the family's 154-position model. The record is from RNAcentral.